AGUGGCGGACGGGUGAGUAACGCGUGGGUAACCUGCCUCAAAGAGGGGGACAACAGUUGGAAACGACUGCUAAUACCGCAUAAGCCCACGGGUCGGCAUCGACCUGAGGGAAAAGGAGCAAUCCGCUUUGAGAUGGCCUCGCGUCCGAUUAGCUAGUUGGUGAGGUAACGGCCCACCAAGGCGACGAUCGGUAGCCGGACUGAGAGGUUGAACGGCCACAUUGGGACUGAGACACGGCCCAG
Molecule: ribosomal RNA, 242 nt
Filed under: uncultured bacterium
Lineage: Bacteria
Description: partial 16S ribosomal RNA
Rfam family: Bacterial small subunit ribosomal RNA
Source: RNAcentral